Molecule: unclassified non-coding RNA, 200 nt
Filed under: Queenslandipenidiella sp.
Lineage: Eukaryota; Fungi; Ascomycota; Dothideomycetes; Mycosphaerellales; Teratosphaeriaceae
Description: partial internal transcribed spacer 2
Source: RNAcentral
UUAAGUUCAGCGGGUAUCCCUACCUGAUCCGAGGUCAACCUUUGAGAGGCUUUAACGGCGCCGCCGCCCGGGCCCGGUUAGCGAACGUUUUACCACAACGCUACGGGGCGGACGGCUCGGCCGACGGGACUUUGAGGCGCGCGGAGGCCGCGGCGCCCAAUACCAAGCCAGGCUUGAUGGGUGAAAUGACGCUCGAACAG